CCGGAUUUAUUGGGCGUAAAGCGUGCGUAGGCGGUUAAUUAAGUCUGACGUGAAAUCCCACAGCUUAACUGUGGAGGGUCGUUGGAAACUGGUUAACUUGAAUUCAGAAGAGGUAAGUGGAAUUCCAUGUGUAGCGGUAAAAUGCAUAGAUAUAUGGAGGAACACCAGUGGCGAAGGCGGCUUACUGGUCUGAUAUUGACGCUGAGGCACGAAAGCGUGGGGAGCAAACAGGAUUAGAUACCUGGUAGUCCACGCUGUAAACGAUGAGCACUAAGUGUUGGACGUAUGUUCAGCGCUGUAGUUAACGCAUUAAGUGCUCCGCCUGGGGAGUACGGUCGCAAGACUGAAACUCAAAGGAAUUGACGGGGACUCGCACAAGCGGUGGAGCAUGUGGUUUAAUUCGACGCAACGCGAAAAACCUUACCAGGUCUUGACAUCCCUCUGACAGAUUUAGAGAUAAGUCUUCCCUUCGGGGCAGAGGAGACAGGUGGUGCAUGGUUGUCGUCAGCUCGUGUCGUGAGAUGUUGGGUUAAGUCCCGCAACGAGCGCAACCCUUAUCAUUAGUUGCUAACAUUAAGUUGAGAACUCUAAUGAGACUGCCAGCGAUAAGUUGGAGGAAGGUGGGGAUGACGUCAAAUCAUCAUGCCCCUUAUGGCCUGGGCUACACACGUGCUACAAUGGCUGGUACAAAGAGCCGCGAAACAGUGAUGCGAAGCAAAUCUCAAAAAGCCAGUCUCAGUUCGGAUUGUAGUCUGCAACUCGACUACAUGAAGUUGGAAUCGCUAGUAAUCGUGAAUCAGC
Molecule: ribosomal RNA, 801 nt
Filed under: uncultured bacterium
Lineage: Bacteria
Description: bacterial SSU rRNA
Rfam family: Bacterial small subunit ribosomal RNA
Source: RNAcentral